Molecule: long non-coding RNA, 5329 nt
Organism: Callithrix jacchus (white-tufted-ear marmoset)
Lineage: Eukaryota; Metazoa; Chordata; Mammalia; Primates; Cebidae
Source: Ensembl
AGUACUUUCAGGAGAAGGAAAAACCUUUUCCCCUUUUAAAAUUUGGAAGGCAGAAAAUACAGAGAGGAUAGUGGGUAAAAACAAGCGAAAAUGUGGGAACCGAAUUAAAAUAUUCCUGACUUCUGGCACUCACCCAGAGUAAAUGAACAGUGUGCAUGCACUCUGAAAAGCUAGAAAAUGCCAUAUAUAUAUUUAUAUUUGAUGUGAUGGGUGCAGAGUGGUGGUUGCUCCCAGCCAGGUCAUUUCAAUAACAACAGGAGACCACAGUUCCUGCUGAAUGGCAUCUUUCAGGCUGAAGAGCUUCCGCCGUCUCUCCACUUCCAUACUGAUUAGAAGUGCUUGAGAUACAUCAUAACAGUGUCAGUGCAGUGUUUAUGGGGGAAAUUGUCGCUGUCUCUUGCUUGUGGAAGGUGACAUAAUGGGAUUUCUUCCCUUUGUCCUGGUGACAGGAUGAUGAGCACUGUGUAGGCUCCAGUUCCGCAUGCUUUGCCAUUCAGGCAUCCGGCGCAGCUGACAAGCCCGAGGAUCCAUGGAGAAGAAUCAGCAUUUCAAGCACCCAAAAUGUGUAGAAGAAUAUGGACCAAAGAAAGGAGCAGAAAGACAAAUAGAGGAAUGGAGAAUUUUGCCUGCGACUAUGAUGUUCUCAAGUGCUGAAACCCAGGUCCAGACAGGGAGUAAAUCAUCUCCCCAAGGGCACAAAGUGAGAGAGCUGGAAUUUGAAUCCUGUUCUGUGUCCUUCUGCUAUACACCAGGAAUCGAGCAAGACUUGUUACAGGAUAAGAGAGAAGGAGAGAAGAAGUGAUGUUACCAGGAAGAAGAGCCCUUGUCUGCCCUGCUUCAAACUGGUGGGUGAGCCACACAGUGAAGGGCAGGGGAACAGCUAUCAGCUGGCCAGGGCAGCUCACAGCCACUCAGACAAGAGCUCGGUGGUGAGGGCUGGGCAAGCAGGGAAGUGUGGGGAGGAGAGGGGGUUAAAGGAUCAGAGAGCUACUGAUUUCAGGGUGAGCUGAGAAUCAGAUACUUUGUGUAUGAUCAGAUUAACAAAUGCAAUGUUAUAUGCCUGCUAAUACAGUGACUGGUAGACAGUAAGUGUUCAGCAAACAGCAAACAUUAUUUUGCCUUUUUCCUCUUUCAGAGCUGCCCCCUUCCACUAAGGGCAGGAGUCCCUCCUCUUCUAUAGGAUACACCUGUUGGCUUGUUUGUCCAUCCUUCCCCUUUCUGGAACUUGUUCUUCAUCAACAUGAUCAUGGGGACAGCCAUGUCCAGACAGUGUUGCCUGUAUUAGCCUAUUUUGUGUUGCUCUAAAGAAAUACCUGAGGCUAGUAAUUUAUAAAGGAAAGAGGUUAAUUUGGCCCAUGGUUCUGCAGGUUGUACAAGAAGCCUGGCACCAGCGUCUGCGGCUGGUGAGGCCACAGGAAGCUUCCACUCAUGGUGGAAGGUGAAGUGGGGACAGGCAUGUUAUAUGGCAAGAGCAGUAGCAAGAGAGAGAGAGCAGAGGUACCAGGCAACCAGCUGUCAUGGGAACUAAUGAGCAAGAACUCACUCACCAACAAGGCGACAGCCCCAACCAUUCCUGAGAGAUCUGCCCCCUGACCCAAACACCUCCCACCAGGCCCACCUCCAGGACUGGGGUCAGAUUUUCACAUAAGACCUUUAUUAUCAAUGUCUGUCCAUCUGGACAUCCAAACUAGAUCACCACCUUUGGUCUUUGGGAAAUUCAGAAGGACUAUGCACUAGAGAAAAGCAACUCCUCUGGCCUGGGAGUUUUGGACUUUUUGCUUUUCAUGUGUGUUUGCUUUUAUCAAAGCAGGGAAUCUGCUACUUGCCUGACACAACCUCAUUUGGAUCCUGAAUUGGGGCCCAAGGACGUCCCAAAGCACUGCCUGGGAAUGCCAAUUUCUCAUCAUGAAUUAGAAAUCAACGCUAGCAGCGUCCCUGCUAAGUAAAAAAAUUACAUAAUUCCUUCUGCACCACUGCAUCAGGCUGAUUUUUUUCCCCCCUUUUCCUGAAUGUACAGUAAAUCCCUAGUGGUUUAAGCCAUGGUGCCUCUCUUUAAACACAAUAUGAAAUCACUACCAAAUUUAAAUAAAAAAUAAAUUCUGUGUUGUGUUAGGAGACUCUCCUGCCAAAAACUCUCACACAAUUAACACACUAGCAGAAUGUGUUGCUAAUUUCAUGCCACUGGAGUCUUUUCUGCUUCAGAAUAUAGAAACAAAAUCAGGUCAGAGCUCCAAUAAUAACAGGAUUUUGUUAAAAUAUACAGCCCUGUGUUGUAGAUAUGUUGUAGGCAUGGGUGAAAAGUAGAAUCACAGUGAUGCAUGAAAUAGCUCACUACUGCAAAUAGAAGUGGAAGGACUUGUCUCCAGCUUCUUUAGAGAGAGAGAGAGAGAGAGAGAAAGGGGUGGUGGGGAGAGAAGAGAGAGGGAGUGGAGAGGUGAAGAGAGAUGGGGGAAGAGAGGAAGAGAGACAGAGAGAGGGGGAGACAGGUAGAGGGAGAGGAGAUAGGUGGGGAGAGAGGGAAAGAGAGGAGAGAGAGAGGGAGACAAGAAGAGAGCGAGAGAAAGGAGAAAGAAGAGAGAGAAGGUAGGAGAAAGAUAGGGAGAGAGAGGCAGUGAGAAGAGAAAAAAGAGAGACAGGGAGAGAGCGAGAGAGGAGGAGGGAGAGAAAGAAAAAGAGAGGAGAGAGAAUGGGAGAGAGGGAAAGAAGAGAGAGGGGGAGACAAGAAGAGAGGGAGAAAGGAGAGAGAGAGAAGGUGGGAGAAAGGGAAAGAGGCAGUGAGGAGAGAGAGAAAAGAGUCAGGGAGAAAGGAGACAGAGAAGGAGGGAGAGGGAGGAGGAGAGAGAGAAAGAAAGAGAGGAGAGAGGUAGGAAGAAAGGGAGAAGAGAGGUAGAGAGAGAGGAGAGACAGGGGAAGAGAGGUAGAGAGAGAGAGGGGGGCACAGGGAGAAGAGAGAGGAAAGAGAGAUGGGGAGGGGGGGGAGAGAGAGAAAGAGAGAGAGAGAGAGAGAGAGAGAGAAAGAAAGAAAGAAGAGGAAAGGCAGGCAGGUGGAGAGAGUUAGUUCAGCUCAGUCCAAGCCCACACCCACCAGGUUCUGUGCGAAAGGGUUUCAUUAUCAAUGGGAGUCCCUCCAGACAUCCACAUACUUUUACAGGGGGAGGCAAAUGCCAGGCAAAGAAACUAGGGAAACACAAGCCCAAUAAAUCACAGCUAGGAUUCUAAUUCCCCUGGUCCUCUCUGAGGCUUCCUCCCUCCACCUCUUAGCCUCCUUACACUGGGCUUCGUCUUUUCCAUAACAAAAACAGCGAUAAUGAAAAUAUUUUGGCAGCAUUGAGGUCUUUUCACAUCGUGACCCUGACCUCCAAAUCAAUUUUCUUUAUUCUUAACCUGACCUUGGCAUCUAUUCUCCCUGGCGUUCAAUAUUAGUUACAAAAUCUUGAACUCCCGGAGACCUUCCCUCCUCCCGGGAUAACCAAGGCAGGCCACGCUGGGGAAGCUCUGGCGAGGACAGAGAAAGAAGGCUUCUUGACAAAGAAAAAUCAUAACGCGAUAAACAAGCCCGAUGCCUUCUAUAGAAGUCUCAUUUGAGCCAAACGCUAUUAGCCCCAGUAUUUACUCAGACAACGGUGCAGGCAGCCCGGGCUCCCUGCUUGCGUGGGGCGCUGUGGAGUGCAUCGUGCAUCACCAGCGGCCGGGGUGCUUCCCUUAAAUAGUAAUAUGUAAGGUAGAGCGUGUUGCAUUCCAUCCAUCACCCAUGGGCUCGCCCUGUGCAGAGACUGGAAAAAUUGCUCACAUUUCUCCAUUGCUGCACUAAUACUAGAAAGGGAGUGAACUGAACAGAGAAAGUGCCAAUUUCAGCACACAUGUUAAAAGAGAAGCAAAGAAUAGAAGAGAAAGCAAGCAUCUCCCGGACUGAGACGCUGGGGGAGGGUGGGGGAGGUUUUUAAAGGAGAAGACUGCUUUUCACAACUCUUGUGCAUUGACCAUGAGAAUAAGGACCCACUGAGACAAGAGUUCGGGGUCAGCAUACAUUUAGGCGGAGAAGUUGGCUGGCAGGGGCUAUUUUUCUGCAAAUUAGUUUUCUCUCUCAAGGGUAACGGUGGGGGAGGAGCAGAGGAAAAUGAAUUGAGCCCGCUGAAUAAUCGCGUAUUGUUCGGCCGGUUGCCGUGACCUAUGAACUGAUGAUGCUCCGAGAAGUGUUUCCAGGCCUUCCUUUCAUAUGGGCCAGGAUGCGAAGCCUCUCACAGCUGUUGACCAGUGUCCUGAAGGGGUAGCCCCACAAACAAUGGUCACAGAGCAUCGGCUCCACUCGGCAAGAGAGGCACCGUCUGCUGGUCAGUACAGCCGACUGCAGAGCUGGACAGGUGGCCAGGCAGGACGGCGAGAAGAGGCAGAGUCCAAACUUUAUGCUGAUCACAAAGAAUUGAGAAAAAGGGGCAAAGUGGAAAACACAGUGUAGCAGAACACCAUAGAUCGAUCGGCUUUUCUUGGGGAUUAGAAGGACCAAGAGCUCUGUAGUGGUUCGAACGGUCCAGUGCAAAUGGCAUUCUUCUAGGAAGUGUGCAAAUUAAAAGUGAAUCGAUUCACCUAAAUGCAUGUGUGCCUCAUUGUUUUCACGUCCAGAAUCUGCCUGGAAUGCACAGCCUCGUGUUCUUCCUUCGGACAUUUUAUCAUGCUCACGUUGGCAUCAGAAAAUCCUGCAUCAUCUAAACUGGUGCUUCUCUGCUCCCUUAAGCACCCGAAUGCAGGUGAGCUAAAUGUGCAGAGACUCUAAGGUGAAGCCGGGAGGGACCCCUCCCAAGGGAGAGCCUUCUUUGAAGUCUUAUACUUCUUAUCUUUUAAAAAGUACCUAAAACGGGGCCGGGCGCGGUGGCUCAAGCCUGUAAUCCCAGCACUUUUGGGAGGCCGAGGCGGGUGGAUCACGAGGUCAAGAGAUUGAGACCAUCCAGGUCAACAUGGUGAAACCCCGUCUCUACUAAAGAUACAAAAAAUUAUCUGGGCAUGGUGGCGCCUGCCUGUAAUCCCAGCUACUCAGGAGGCUGAGGCAGGAGAAUUGCCUGAACCCAGGAGGCGGAGGUAGCGGUGAGCCGAGAUCGCGCCAUUGCACUCCAGCCUGGGUAACAAGAGCGAAACUCCGCCUCAAAAAAAAAAAAAAAAAAAAAAAAGUACCUAAAACAGAUAUAUUGUGCAGCAGUCUGAAGUUUAACAUUACAGAUACCAUUUUAAUCCCUUCAGCUCCUCAAUUCUAGGAUUUCAUUCUAAGAUUCAGCUCAAUCUGUAUCAGACAAAAAAGAACAAUUACCAAUUUAAUGCAUAUUUUGAGUUGAGGAGG